UACGUAGGUGGCGAGCGUUGUCCGGAUUUACUGGGCGUAAAGGGAGCGUAGGCGGACUUUUAAGUGAGAUGUGAAAUACCCGGGCUCAACUUGGGUGCUGCAUUUCAAACUGGAAGUCUAGAGUGCAGGAGAGGAGAAUGGAAUUCCUAGUGUAGCGGUGAAAUGCGUAGAGAUUAGGAAGAACACCAGUGGCGAAGGCGAUUCUCUGGACUGUAACUGACGCUGAGGCUCGAAAGCGUGGGGAGCAAACAGGAUUAGAUUCCCGGGUA
This 269-nucleotide ribosomal RNA is filed under the name uncultured prokaryote. Its description in RNAcentral is "partial 16S ribosomal RNA". It matches the Rfam family "Bacterial small subunit ribosomal RNA", at positions 524 to 792 of the family's 1533-position model. The record is from RNAcentral.